This 264-nucleotide signal recognition particle RNA is filed under the name Desulfobacterales bacterium. Its description in RNAcentral is "signal recognition particle sRNA large type". It matches the Rfam family "Bacterial large signal recognition particle RNA". From Rfam's summary of the family: The signal recognition particle (SRP) is a universally conserved ribonucleoprotein involved in the co-translational targeting of proteins to membranes. Lineage: Bacteria; Pseudomonadati; Thermodesulfobacteriota; Desulfobacteria; Desulfobacterales. The record is from RNAcentral.
ACGUGCUAGACGGGGAGCUAGCGGUGCCCUGUAGCCCGAAAUCCGCUCAUGCGGGGUCGAUUUCUUCCCGAGAAACAAGAGGUGGGGAUCAAUUCUUUCAGCAAGAGAGGAGGUCGGACCUCGUGUGACAGAUGAUUAUGAACCCCGUCAGGUCCGGGAGGAAGCAGCGGUAAAUAAUUCAAUCUGCAGCACGAAGCAAUCUGCCCUCGUGACCUCUUCUUGCUGAGAGAUUGUCUCCCUUUCUGUUCAAAGGAGGAUGCACGA